Lytechinus variegatus (green sea urchin) is the source of this 531-nucleotide long non-coding RNA. RefSeq lists it as uncharacterized. The record is from RefSeq and is a predicted model, not a curated record. The transcript has 2 exons. NCBI's taxonomy places the organism in Eukaryota, Metazoa, Echinodermata, Echinoidea, Temnopleuroida, Toxopneustidae.
CACAGAAAGCGGGGACCAUUUUGGAUUUUUGCAGAGGGAACACUCAGACCCUCACUGAGAAAGAUUUCUUCUAGUUUUAUUUUGCCAGCUUCAAGCUAUUUACUGGCAGUUGGUUAUUAUUUCUACAUUCCAGAAAUCAAGUGUGGCUCCUAUUUCAUGGAAAGACAGAUCCACGUCCGGUUCCAUGUCAUUCAUUCUGAAGGGGGCGCUGUAUUCACGCUAUUUAUUCUGAGUGAACUACUACGUGAUCGUGAUCUACUUUGUGACCCCAAUCUGAGUGAGGGGGAGGUGAUACGAGCGUUCCAUUCUGGGUAACAUGGAUUCGUAGACAGUCCAUCGAUGACGAUUAAGUGAUCAACCAUAACAACGAUCAACGUUUGUUCGAUGUCAGUAAGUCUUUUCGACUGGUAAGCGGAUUCGUUUCCAAGGACAUCUAUAUGCGCUACAUUUUUUGUUUACUCACUACUGAACUUAACUCGACGAGCAUUGCUCUGAUUCCGAAAUCGCAUAUGCCAAAGACAAUGAUUGAAC